GACGAACGCUGGCGGCGUGCUUAACACAUGCAAGUCGAACGGAAAGGCCCUGCUUUUGUGGUGUUCUCGAGUGGCGAACGGGUGAGUAACACGUGUGUAACCUGCCCUUGACUUUCGUAUAACUUCACGAAACUGGGGCUAAUACCGGAUAGGAGCUCCUGCUGCAUGGUGGGGGUUGGAAAGUUUCGGCGGUUGGGGAUGGACUCGCGGCUUAUCAGCUUGUUGGUGGGGUAGUGGCUUACCAAGGCUUUGACGGGUAGCCGGCCUGAGAGGGUGACCGGCCACAAUGGGACUGAGAGACGGACCAGACUCCAACGGGAGGCAGCAGUGGGGAAUAUUACACAAUGGGCGGAAGCCUGAUGCAGAAACGCCGCGUGCGGGAUGACGGCCUUCGGGUUGUAAACCGCUUUCGCCUGUGACGAAGCGUGAGUGACGGUAAUGGGUAAAGAAGCACCGGCUAACUACGUG
This 468-nucleotide ribosomal RNA is filed under the name uncultured bacterium. Its description in RNAcentral is "partial 16S ribosomal RNA". It matches the Rfam family "Bacterial small subunit ribosomal RNA", at positions 28 to 507 of the family's 1533-position model. The record is from RNAcentral.